AGAGUUUGAUCAUGGCUCAGAUUGAACGCUGGCGGCAUGCUUUACACAUGCAAGUCGAACGGCAGCACGGGUGCUUGCACCUGGUGGCGAGUGGCGGACGGGUGAGUAAUACAUCGGAACGUGUCCUGAAGUGGGGGAUAACGCAUCGAAAGAUGUGCUAAUACCGCAUAUACUCUGAGGAGUAAAGUAGGGGAUCGAAAGACCUUAUGCUUUUGGAGCGGCCGAUGUCUGAUUAGCUAGUUGGUGGGGUAAUUGCCUACCAAGGCGACGAUCAGUAGUUGGUCUGAGAGGACGGCCAGCCACACUGGGACUGAGACACGGCCCAGACUCCUACGGGAGGCAGCAGUGGGGAAUUUUGGACAAUGGGCGCAAGCCUGAUCCAGCAAUGCCGCGUGAGUGAAGAAGGCCUUCGGGUUGUAAAGCUCUUUCAGUUGAGAAGAAAAGAUUGUAACUAAUAAUUACAGUUCAUGACGGUAUCAACAGAAGAAGCACCGGCUAACUACGUGCCAGCAGCCGCGGUAAUACGUAGGGUGCGAGCGUUAAUCGGAAUUACUGGGCGUAAAGGGUGCGCAGGCGGUUCUGUAAGUCAGAUGUGAAAUCCCCGGGCUUAACCUGGGAACUGCGUUUGAAACUACAGAGCUAGAGUGUGGCAGAGGGGGGUGGAAUUCCAUGUGUAGCAGUGAAAUGCGUAGAGAUAUGGAAGAACAUCGAUGGCGAAGGCAGCCCCCUGGGUUAACACUGACGCUCAUGCACGAAAGCGUGGGGAGCAAACAGGAUUAGAUACCCCGGUAGUCCAA
Molecule: ribosomal RNA, 797 nt
Filed under: uncultured bacterium
Lineage: Bacteria
Description: bacterial SSU rRNA
Rfam family: Bacterial small subunit ribosomal RNA
Source: RNAcentral